CAAGUCGCACGAGAAAGGGGAGCAAUCCCUGAGUACAGUGGCGUACGGGUGAGUAACACGUGGAUCAUCUACCUUUUAGUGGGGAAUACCCCUGGGAAACCGGGGAUAAUACCGCAUAAGCUCGCAAGAGGAAAGCCGAAAGGCGCUGAAAGAGGAGUCCGCGGCUGAUUAGCUAGAUGGCGGGGUAACGGCCCACCAUGGCGAAGAUCGGUAGCCGGCCUGAGAGGGCACACGGCCACACUGGCACUGAAACACGGGCCAGACUCCUACGGGAGGCAGCAGUGGGGAAUCUUGCACAAUGGGGGCAACCCUGAUGCAGCGACGCCGCGUGAGCGAUGAAGCCCUUCGGGGUGUAAAGCUCUUUCGACGGGAACGAUAAUGACGGUACCCGAAGAAGAAGCUGCGGCUAACUACGUGCCAGCAGCCGCGGUAAUACGUAGGCAGCGAGCGUUGUUCGGAAUUACUGGGCGUAAAGAGUGUGUAGGCGGUGCUCCAAGUCUGGUGUAAAAUCUCCCGGCUCAACUGGGAGGGUGCGCCGGAAACUGGAGUGCUCGAGUGUGGGAGAGGAAAGCGGAAUUCCUGGUGUAGCGGUGAAAUGCGUAGAUAUCAGGAGGAACACCUGCGGUGUAG
This 630-nucleotide ribosomal RNA is filed under the name uncultured Acidobacteriota bacterium. RNAcentral describes it as "bacterial SSU rRNA". It matches the Rfam family "Bacterial small subunit ribosomal RNA", at positions 58 to 720 of the family's 1533-position model. Lineage: Bacteria; Pseudomonadati; Acidobacteriota. The record is from RNAcentral.